UACGUAGGGGGCAAGCGUUGUCCGGAAUCAUUGGGCGUAAAGAGCGUGUAGGCGGCCCGAUAAGUCCGCCGUGAAAGUCAGGGGCUCAACCCUUGAAUGCCGGUGGAUACUGUCGGGCUAGAGUCCGGAAGAGGCGAGUGGAAUUCCUGGUGUAGCGGUGAAAUGCGCAGAUAUCAGGAGGAACACCGAUGGCGAAGGCAGCUCGCUGGGACGGUACUGACGCUGAGGCGCGAAAGCGUGGGGAGCAAACAGG
Molecule: ribosomal RNA, 253 nt
Filed under: uncultured bacterium
Lineage: Bacteria
Description: partial 16S ribosomal RNA
Rfam family: Bacterial small subunit ribosomal RNA
Source: RNAcentral